AAAGAAACGAAAAAGAAACGAAAAAGAAAAAAAGAAAAAAUAGGUAAGUAUAUAUGCAUAUUUACGUUUUCUUCUUCUUUACCAUCCUUUCUUCACUCUUAUU
Molecule: non-coding RNA, 103 nt
Filed under: Polytomella parva
Lineage: Eukaryota; Viridiplantae; Chlorophyta; Chlorophyceae; Chlamydomonadales; Chlamydomonadaceae
Source: RNAcentral